This 73-nucleotide transfer RNA is filed under the name Necator americanus (New World hookworm). It matches the Rfam family "tRNA". Rfam says of the family: Transfer RNA (tRNA) molecules are approximately 80 nucleotides in length. Their secondary structure includes four short double-helical elements and three loops (D, anti-codon, and T loops). Further hydrogen bonds mediate the characteristic L-shaped molecular structure. tRNAs have two regions of fundamental functional importance: the anti-codon, which is responsible for specific mRNA codon recognition, and the 3' end, to which the tRNAs corresponding amino acid is attached (by aminoacyl-tRNA synthetases). tRNAs cope with the degeneracy of the genetic code in two manners: having more than one tRNA (with a specific anti-codon) for a particular amino acid; and 'wobble' base-pairing, i.e. permitting non-standard base-pairing at the 3rd anti-codon position. Lineage: Eukaryota; Metazoa; Nematoda; Chromadorea; Rhabditida; Ancylostomatidae. The record is from Rfam by way of RNAcentral.
GGCGGCGUGGCGCAAUAGAUAACGCGUCCGCCUACGAACCAGAAGAUUACAGGUUCGAAUCCUGCCGUGGUCG